Molecule: ribosomal RNA, 501 nt
Filed under: uncultured bacterium
Lineage: Bacteria
Description: partial 16S ribosomal RNA
Rfam family: Bacterial small subunit ribosomal RNA
Source: RNAcentral
AGUGAACGCUGGCGGCAGGCUUAACACAUGCAAGUCGAGCGGAGAGAGGUAGCUUGCUACUGAUCUUAGCGGCGGACGGGUGAGUAAUGCUCAGGAAUCUGCCUAGUAGUGGGGGACAACAUGUCGAAAGGAAUGCUAAUACCGCAUACGUCCUACGGGAGAAAGCAGGGGAUCUUCGGACCUUGAGCUAAUAGAUGAGCCAAAGUCGGAUUAGCUAGUUGGUGGGGUAAAGGCCUACAAAGGCGACGAGCUGUAGCGGGUCUGAGAGGAUGAUCCGCCACACUGGGACUGAGACACGGCCCAGACUCCUACGGGAGGCAGCAGUGGGGAAUAUUGGACAAUGGGCGGAAGCCUUAUCCAGCCAUGCCGCGUGUGUGAAGAAGGCCUUAUGGUUGUAAAGCACUUUAAGCGAGGAGGAGGCUACUUUAGUUAAUACCCAGAGAUAGUGGACGUUACUCGCAGAAUAAGCACCGGCUAACUCUGUGCCAGCCGCCGCAGUAA